CCUACGGGCGGCAGCAGUAGGGAAUCUUCCACAAUGGGCGAAAGCCUGAUGGAGCAACGCCGCGUGGGUGAAGAAGGUCUUCGGAUCGUAAAACCCUGUUGUUAGAGAAGAAAGUGCGUGAGAGUAACUGUUCACGUUUCGACGGUAUCUAACCAGAAAGCCACGGCUAACUACGUGCCAGCAGCCGCGGGAAUACGUAGGUGGCAAGCGUUAUCCGGAUUUAUUGGGCGUAAAGGGAACGCAGGCGGUCUUUUAAGUCUGAUGUGAAAGCCUUCGGCUUAACCGGAGUAGUGCAUUGGAAACUGGGAGACUUGAGUGCAGAAGAGGAGAGUGGAACGCCAUGUGUAGCGGUGAAAUGCGUAGAUAUAUGGAAGAACACCAGUGGCGAAAGCGGCUUUCUGGUCUGUAACUGACGCUGAGGUUCGAAAGCGUGGGUAGCAAACAGGAUUAGAUACCCUUGUAGUC
Molecule: ribosomal RNA, 465 nt
Filed under: uncultured bacterium
Lineage: Bacteria
Description: partial 16S ribosomal RNA
Rfam family: Bacterial small subunit ribosomal RNA
Source: RNAcentral